CUUUGAAUCUAGUAUUCUCCUUGGAUCAAUGGUUUCCAUUCAAUAGCAGUAGUAACCAUGAAACAACAGAGUAUUAUGCAUUGCCAUAACCUUUUAUUGCAGGUUUUAUGGUGACGUCCGUCCAUAUCUUCUGGUCCAAACUGUAUCAUCCAUUGCCUCCAAUGUACACAAAUUCAAUAUAAUGGCUAUGGGCUGCAGGAUUUUAUCCUCUAGCUAUGCUGCAAGAGACUGCUGCUGAUAGAUUGAUUUAUGCAGCAACUUAUCAUAUUGUCAGUGGUCACACACUUAAGCAUUUGUGUGCUCUGCAAUGGUUUCUCUCAUCUUAACAGUAAUGCUUGCAAAGAGUGAGGAUAUGUCCAAUGCAUAGUUGGCAUUAGCUUUUUGGCUAUGGAUAUGUAAUGAAUGGUUACCCUCUCUCAUAAAAUCUUUUCAUAUCUAUAGGAUUGUAUAGAAAUGGAGGAUUUUAGAACAUUAGUAAACAAAUUUGAGACUAGGAAUUCGGGAUCAUUUUUUUGAAUGGAUUUAAUAUGGUUUUUUCUCGUAAAAGAUGUAAUCAUGAAUAUGAUUAGCUGGUGCAAGUCUUGGAGUGUACUGAACUACUGAUACAAUCUUUCUGAACCAUAUAGCACUGUUGUUUUGCUAUUUUUGAUCA
This is a long non-coding RNA of Vicia villosa (hairy vetch), 652 nucleotides long. RefSeq lists it as uncharacterized. The record is from RefSeq and is a predicted model, not a curated record. The transcript is spliced from 2 exons. NCBI's taxonomy places the organism in Eukaryota, Viridiplantae, Streptophyta, Magnoliopsida, Fabales, Fabaceae.